Molecule: microRNA precursor, 94 nt
Filed under: Canis lupus familiaris (dog)
Lineage: Eukaryota; Metazoa; Chordata; Mammalia; Carnivora; Canidae
Also listed under: 1 other name
Description: mir-8799 microRNA precursor family
Rfam family: mir-8799 microRNA precursor family
Source: Rfam by way of RNAcentral
UGGGGAGUGCAGGAUCCUGGGCUGUGUCCCCCGGCGCCCUGGGAUCUGGGGCCUGCACCCCUGGACUCGCGUUCCUGCGGCUGCGCAGUCCCCU